This 749-nucleotide ribosomal RNA is filed under the name uncultured archaeon. RNAcentral describes it as "bacterial SSU rRNA". It matches the Rfam family "Archaeal small subunit ribosomal RNA", at positions 170 to 922 of the family's 1478-position model. The record is from RNAcentral.
CUGGAAUGGGUAAUGACUUAAAUCUAUAUGGCCCCUGGAUUGGACUGCGGCCGAUCAGGCUGUUGGUGAGGUAAUGGCCCACCAAACCUGUAACCGGUACGGGCUCUGAGAGGAGGAGCCCGGAGAUGGGCACUGAGACAAGGGCCCAGGCCCUAUGGGGCGCAGCAGGCGCGAAACCUCUGCAAUAGGCGAAAGCCUGACAGGGUUACUCUGAGUGAUUUCCGUUAAGGAGAUCUUUUGGCACCUCUAAAAAUGGCGCAGAAUAAGGGGUGGGCAAGUCUGGUGUCAGCCGCCGCGGUAAUACCAGCACCCCGAGUGGUCGGGACGUUUAUUGGGCCUAAAGCAUCCGUAGCCGGUUCUGCAAGUCUUCCGUUAAAUCCACCUGCUUAACAGAUGGGCCGCGGAAGAUACUAUAGAGCUAGGAGGCGGGAGAGGCAAGCGGUACUCGAUGGGUAGGGGUAAAAUCCGUUGAUCCAUUGAAGACCACCAGUGGCGAAGGCGGCUUGCCAGAACGCGCUCGACGGUGAGGGAUGAAAGCUGGGGGAGCAAACCGGAUUAGAUACCCGGGUAGUCCCAGCUGUAAACGAUGCAGACUCGGUGAUGAAUUGGCUUCAUGCCAAUUCAGUGCCGCAGGGAAGCCGUUAAGUUUGCCGCCUGGGGAGUACGGUCGCAAGACUGAAACUUGAAGGAAUUGGCGGGGGAGCACCACAAGGGGCGAAGCCUGCGGUUCAAUUGGACUCAACGCCGGU